RNAcentral lists this unclassified non-coding RNA (348 nucleotides) under soil metagenome. Its description in RNAcentral is "partial contains 5.8S ribosomal RNA, internal transcribed spacer 2, and large subunit ribosomal RNA". The stretch from base 1 to 120 matches the Rfam family "5.8S ribosomal RNA", at positions 35 to 154 of the family's 154-position model. The record is from RNAcentral.
GAUGAAGAACGUAGCGAAAUGCGAUAAGUAAUGUGAAUUGCAGAAUUCAGUGAAUCAUCGAAUCUUUGAACGCACAUUGCGCCCAUCAGUAUUCUGUUGGGCAUGCCUGUCCGAGCGUCAUUUCAACCCUCAGGGCCCGUUCGCGGGAACUGGUGUUGGGGAUCGGCCUCCCCCCGGAGGCCGGCCCCGAAAUGCAGUGGCGGCUCUACCGCGAUCUCCUCUGUGUAGUAGCGAUACCUCGCAGCUGGAUAGUGGUGGUGCCACGCCGUAAAAUCCCAACUUUACCAAGGUUGACCUCGGAUCAGGUAGGAAUAUCCGCUGAACUUAAGCAUAUCAAUAAGCGGAGGA